RNAcentral lists this ribosomal RNA (435 nucleotides) under uncultured bacterium. Its description in RNAcentral is "bacterial SSU rRNA". It matches the Rfam family "Bacterial small subunit ribosomal RNA", at positions 355 to 796 of the family's 1533-position model. The record is from RNAcentral.
UCGAGGAUCUUCGGCAAUGGGCGCAAGCCUGACCGAGCGACGCCGCGUGCGCGAUGAAGGCCUUCGGGUUGUAAAGCGCUGUCGAGGGGGAGGAAAACCCGCAAGGGUCUGACCUAUCCCUGGAGGAAGGACGGGCUAAGUUCGUGCCAGCAGCCGCGGUAAGACGAACCGUCCAAACGUUGUUCGGAAUCACUGGGCUUAAAGGGCGCGUAGGCGGGUUCCCAAGUCGGUGGUGAAAUCUUUCGGCCCAACCGGAAAACAGCCGCCGAUACUGGGAGUCUCGAGGGAGGUAGGGGUCGAUGGAACUUCAGGUGGAGCGGUGAAAUGCGUAGAUAUCUGAAGGAACGCCGGUGGCGAAAGCGAUCGACUGGACCUUUUCUGACGCUGAGGCGCGAAAGCCAGGGGAGCAAACGGGAUUAGAUACCCCGGUAGUCC